AGGAAUAAGUAUUUGUCCCACAUCGGUUAAGAAUUCCGUUUAGGUGAAGUAUAUAUAUGUUUACAUACGGAACAAUUGAUUGUGUUCGUAGAAAGGAGAGAUGGUUGGCAUCUCCUCUGACAGAGACGGGAUUUGACCUUCGGGUCUUUGAACACAUCCGGUUAAGGCUCUCCACAUUCGUGUGGAUCUAAACCCAAUUUUUUUGGGC
Arabidopsis thaliana (thale cress) is the source of this 208-nucleotide small nuclear RNA. The record is from RefSeq. Lineage: Eukaryota; Viridiplantae; Streptophyta; Magnoliopsida; Brassicales; Brassicaceae.